AUGGUCUUUCAGGAGCAGGACUCCAGGUACAACAGAUCUACCCUACAAGUGAUGGGGAUGAUUGGCCCUGAGGCUACCGGUGAGUGGGCAAUCGUAGGCGGGACUGGAAAAUUAUCCAUGGCUCGUGGUAUUAUCAAGUACAAGUUUCCCCAGAUCGUGACGAGCUUUGAGAAUUAUAGGCAGCUUGAUAUUCAUGCAUUCUACACCCCACAAGCUGUUUAA
Molecule: ribosomal RNA, 222 nt
Filed under: Triticum aestivum (bread wheat)
Lineage: Eukaryota; Viridiplantae; Streptophyta; Magnoliopsida; Poales; Poaceae
Description: partial small subunit ribosomal RNA
Source: RNAcentral